Molecule: ribosomal RNA, 253 nt
Filed under: uncultured bacterium
Lineage: Bacteria
Description: partial 16S ribosomal RNA
Rfam family: Bacterial small subunit ribosomal RNA
Source: RNAcentral
UACGAAGGGUGCAAGCGUUAAUCGGAAUUACUGGGCGUAAAGCGCACGUAGGCGGUUAGUUAAGUUGGAUGUGAAAGCCCCGGGCUCAACCUGGGAAUUGCAUUUGAAACUGGGAAACUAGAGUGUGUGAGAGGGGGGUAGAAUUCCAAGUGUAGCGGUGAAAUGCGUAGAGAUUUGGAGGAAUACCAGUGGCGAAGGCGGCCCCCUGGCACAACACUGACGCUCAGGUGCGAAAGCGUGGGGAGCAAACAGG